GAUGAACGCUGGCGGCGUGCCUAAUACAUGCAAGUCGAGCGAACAGACGAGGAGCUUGCUCCUCUGACGUUAGCGGCGGACGGGUGAGUAACACGUGGAUAACCUACCUAUAAGACUGGGAUAACUUCGGGAAACCGGAGCUAAUACCGGAUAAUAUAUUGAACCGCAUGGUUCUAUAGUGAAAGACGGUUUUGCUGUCACUUAUAGAUGGAUCCGCGCCGCAUUAGCUAGUUGGUAAGGUAACGGCUUACCAAGGCAACGAUGCGUAGCCGACCUGAGAGGGUGAUCGGCCACACUGGAACUGAGACACGGUCCAGACUCCUACGGGAGGCAGCAGUAGGGAAUCUUCCGCAAAGGGCGAAAGCUUGACGGAGCAACGCCGCGUGAGUGAUGAAGGUCUUCGGAUCGUAAAACUCUGUUAUUAGGGAAGAACAAAUGUGUAAGUAACUAUGCACGUCUUGACGGUACCUAAUCAGAAAGCCACGGCUAACUACGUG
This 497-nucleotide ribosomal RNA is filed under the name uncultured bacterium. RNAcentral's name for it is "partial 16S ribosomal RNA". It matches the Rfam family "Bacterial small subunit ribosomal RNA", at positions 28 to 507 of the family's 1533-position model. The record is from RNAcentral.